Molecule: ribosomal RNA, 497 nt
Filed under: uncultured bacterium
Lineage: Bacteria
Description: partial 16S ribosomal RNA
Rfam family: Bacterial small subunit ribosomal RNA
Source: RNAcentral
GAUGAACGCUGGCGGCGUGCCUAAUACAUGCAAGUCGAGCGAACAGACGAGGAGCUUGCUCCUCUGACGUUAGCGGCGGACGGGUGAGUAACACGUGUAUAACCCACCUAUAAGACUGGGAUAACUUCGGGAAACCGGAUCUAAUACCGUAUAAUAUAUUGAACCGCAUGGUUCAAUAGUGAAAUACGGUUUUGCUGGCACGUAUAGAUGCAUCCGCGCUGCAUUAGCUAGUUGGUACGGUAACGGCUUACCAAGGCAACGAUGCGUAGCCGAACUGAGAGGGUGAUAGGCGGCACUGGAACUGAGCCACGGUCCAGAGUCCUACGGGAGGCAGCAGUAGGGAAUCUUCCGCAAUAGGCGAAAGCCUGACGGAGCAACGCCGAGUGAGUGAUGAAGGUCUUCGGAUCGUAAAACUCUGUUAUUAGGGAAGAACAAAUGUGUAAGUAACUAUGCACGUAUUGACGGUAACUAAUAAGAAAGCACCGGCUAACUACGUG